Molecule: long non-coding RNA, 792 nt
Organism: Carassius gibelio (silver crucian carp)
Lineage: Eukaryota; Metazoa; Chordata; Actinopteri; Cypriniformes; Cyprinidae
Exons: 3
Source: RefSeq, a predicted model, not a curated record
GAGGUCGCUAGAGGAAAUUCAUUCACAUUCACGUCAUUUAUGUGAUUGGGGUUGAGGCUGUGAGUUCAGAAACCUGUAUUGUCGAUCAGCAGUUACAUUCGUUCAAUUUCUCUCAAUGUCAGAAGCUCAGUGAAAUAUAUACCAUCAAGCUAGCGGCUAACUUAGGAAGCAGCAAGUUAAAAUUUGCACCCUUGGUGAGCGGAGCGAGUUUCACGGUGCUUAUGCUGGUUCCAGAAGAAUAAAAACAAAGAUUGCACCCGUUAGAGACUCUCUGCCUCAUGUUAUAGAAGCCAAGGACUGCGACAAGUCCAGUAGAGGAGGCUGUACAGCACGAGUCAUCAGAACUCACGGGUCCAGAUGCAAUUUCUAUAGUAAUAGUUCUUAUUUGAUGAAAACAUUCUUCCUGGUUUUAACAUUAGACCAAUGCUUUUACUUUAAAAUAGGUUAACCUUUACGAUUUUGAUUUUUUUUAAGUCCUUGUUGAAAAAAAAAAAAUUUAUUUUAUUUUAAUAAGUCACUCACACUUACUUCAGUAGCCUUAAUCCUUGAAUAUGUAUUUUAUGUUGUCAAUAUUAACUUCUGGCUUUGCUAUAUCAAUUGAAACAUGCGUUUAGGAAUACAAGAAUCUAAUUGGAUUGAAAUGUUUUGGAAAGUUUCUUGCCAUAAGACUCGUUAUCAAUUCAAAUAGACGUAGAAUGUCUAAACUUUUACAACAUUACACAUUGCUAGAUCAGGUUAAAACUGUUUAAAAGUUAUUUUCAAAACACAAUAAACAUUCUUAUGACUGUUUAA